Molecule: ribosomal RNA, 465 nt
Filed under: Vreelandella stevensii
Lineage: Bacteria; Pseudomonadati; Pseudomonadota; Gammaproteobacteria; Oceanospirillales; Halomonadaceae
Description: partial 16S ribosomal RNA
Rfam family: Bacterial small subunit ribosomal RNA
Source: RNAcentral
CCUACGGGGGGCAGCAGUGGGGAAUAUUGGACAAUGGGGGGAACCCUGAUCCAGCCAUGCCGCGUGUGUGAAGAAGGCCCUCGGGUUGUAAAGCACUUUCAGUGAGGAAGAACGCCUGGUGGUUAAUACCCAUCAGGAAAGACAUCACUCACAGAAGAAGCACCGGCUAACUCCGUGCCAGCAGCCGCGGUAAUACGGAGGGUGCGAGCGUUAAUCGGAAUUACUGGGCGUAAAGCGCGCGUAGGUGGCUUGAUAAGCCGGUUGUGAAAGCCCCGGGCUCAACCUGGGAACGGCAUCCGGAGCUGUCAAGCUAGAGUGCAGGAGAGGAAGGUAGAAUUCCCGGUGUAGCGGUGAAAUGCGUAGAGAUCGGGAGGAAUACCAGUGGCGAAGGCGGCCUUUUGGACUGACACUGACACUGAGGUGCGAAAGCGUGGGUAGCAAACAGGAUUAGAUACCCCGGUAGUC